RNAcentral lists this ribosomal RNA (330 nucleotides) under uncultured eukaryote. RNAcentral's name for it is "partial 18S ribosomal RNA". It matches the Rfam family "Eukaryotic small subunit ribosomal RNA", at positions 1470 to 1796 of the family's 1831-position model. The record is from RNAcentral.
CCCUUAGAUGUUCUGGGCCGCACGCGUGCUACACUGAUUCGUUCAACGAGCUUUUUUACCUUGGCCGACAGGUCUGGGCAAUCUUCUCAAAGCGAAUCGUGAUUGGGAUAGAUGAUUGGAAUUAUUCAUCUUUAACGAGGAAUGCCUAGUAAACGCAAGUCAUUAGCUUGCAUUGAUUACGUCCCUGCCCUUUGUACACACCGCCCGUCGCUCCUACCGAUUGAAUGAACCGGUGAAAACUUAGGAUUGGCGCAUUGGAACGGUUUCCGUUCUGAUGCUGCUGAGAAUCAGUUUGAACCUUUUCAUUUAGAGGAAGGAGAAGUCGUAACA